Molecule: small nucleolar RNA, 89 nt
Organism: Heterocephalus glaber (naked mole-rat)
Lineage: Eukaryota; Metazoa; Chordata; Mammalia; Rodentia; Bathyergidae
Source: Ensembl
UGAAUUUGUUAAUGAUUAAGUCUGUGUUGUUAGGGACAUCUGAGAUGUGAUGAACUGCCAGGGGAAAUUUCAAGACAGUCCAACAUUCA